RNAcentral lists this long non-coding RNA (1237 nucleotides) under Marmota monax (woodchuck). The record is from RNAcentral. Lineage: Eukaryota; Metazoa; Chordata; Mammalia; Rodentia; Sciuridae.
CCUGGGAUGGUUGAAAAUGCUCUUUUAGGCUGGCUAACCGUCCGGGGCCUCCAGGCCCCCAAGGUUCCUGUGGACGGAUGGAGGGAGUCCAUUAGCUGCCUCACCUCCUGCCCCUUUCUGGUCUCACCUGGGCCUUGUCACCUGUGCCUGAGCCCACCUGUCUCCAGAGGUCCAGGCCUGCCUCUCUCAUGUGCAAACGAGGGGGAGGUUCAGGCACCUGCCUUCAUACCAGCGGGCCUCGAAGGUGAGUACUUUGAAAGGAAAUAGGUGAAUAAAUGGUACAAUGGUGCAAUGUGGUGGGGAAGAAUAAAAGCUUAUAUAUCAGAAGCCCCUGGAUAAGGGACUUGACUAACCUUGUGACUUUUUUUCUUUUUUUGAUACAGGGACAAGACGCAGAGGUGCUUAACCACUGAGUCACAUAACCAGCCCUUUUUUAAAAUCAAUUUUAUUUAUUUAUUUAUUUUUCGACACAGGGUCUCCCUAAGUUGCUCAGGGCCUCACUAAGUUGCUAACACUGGCUUUGAAUUUGAGGCCCUCCGGUCAGCCUCCUGAGCCACUGGGAUUAUAGGCGUGUGCCCCCACACCCAGCUAACUGUGUGACUUUAACAUGUGCCGUGGCCCAUUGGAACUUAAGCUUCCUUAUCGAAUACUUCACCCUGCUGUGAGAUCAGAAUCCAUGUGUGGGAAGCACUGGCCACAGUGUCCAGUACCAUGGCUGCUAUUAUUAUGCUAAAUAGUACCAGCGACUUCAGAGGCCAGCAUGUCCAAUGGAUUGGAACCCACAUCCGGAGAGGGCAGGACUGUUUGCUAGGUCUGUUAGAAGUGCCGUCCCUGAGAUUUAACUUCUGGAUAUAGUAAAGAAUUAAGCAGCUCAGGGGGGCACUCAGACCCCUUGUUCAUGAGAAAUAUACACUGUGCAGUGAAGAAGAAAUCCAUCCUAAAGGAAGAGCCGGCCUGCCUGCAGCAGCCACUGGCAGAAAGAAUUAAGCCACUUCCCCAAACAUCAAGAGCCAACAGGAGAAACGAACCAAUUCAUGGCAAAAUUUUAUCCUAGUAGAAUAGCAAGAGACCCCAGGCCUCCUUUUGUCAAUGCCUCUUCAAUUUAAAGAACUCACUGCAGCUCAUAAGAAUUGAAUUUGCUUAUUGAUUAAUCCAUACAGACACCACACUCCAUACCGUAGGAUCCCAUCACAUGAAAUACAAGUUUCUGCAACAUUUACGUGUCUGGUACUUUUAA